Cornus florida is the source of this 1405-nucleotide long non-coding RNA. RefSeq lists it as uncharacterized. The record is from RefSeq and is a predicted model, not a curated record. The transcript is spliced from 2 exons. NCBI's taxonomy places the organism in Eukaryota, Viridiplantae, Streptophyta, Magnoliopsida, Cornales, Cornaceae.
CACAAAAUUAGGAUUCUAGUUCUUGCAAUCAAGCAUACUUUAAUUUUAAAAAAAUUAAAUAGCCCACAAAUUUCCCAUUCCCGCGGGCGCCUCAGUCCACUCUGUAAAUAAAUGAAUAUUAAAAAAAAAAAUUGCCCUAAAAAUUUGCACCCGCUCUCGACAAUUCCCACUCUUUCCAGAAGCCCCACUCUCUCCAGAAGCCCCAUUCUCAUUUAUGCUUUAAAAAUCCCUAAUUGCGGCAAGCAAAGAAACCCACUAAUCUGUUUCAAGGAAAGGUUGCCUUGCUUGCUUGGAUCGCGAUUCCCUAAGCUCUAAAUUGAAUCGUGACUCUUCUCCCCUCUCUCCGUCCUAAUUCAUGCAAUAGCCCCCUCAGAUGCUAAGGUUUUGCAUGCGUGUUUGGCUGUUCUGUUAGUCUGAUAACUCUAAGACUGGGGAGGCUCAAAUGGAUGGGUUAACCACAUUAACGGUGCCCCCUUUUUCACUUCCGGCAACCCAAGGGCUUUUGAAGGUUUUUGAAGGGCGGCCAGAAUUGCGACUUUGUUAGCUGUGGGGUUAGCGUACCUUACCUUAGAUGAUUUUGUGAGUUUGGGUCUAGGUCCAAGUUCUGGUAUGUACAGAUUUGUGUGUUUAUAUAUGUAUAGAUUAGAUGAUUUUUGCAUUUUCUUCUAUAUGCUUUAUACGAAUCGGUGAGGCUUGUUUGAUGAAUGCAUACAAUCUUUUUUUAUCUUUAGAUGCAUUAAUUAAACAAGCCCAUUUCAAUUAUUAAUUAAUUAAGUCUAUGAUAAAACAUACAAUAUAUAUUGUUUAGAGAUUAAUCACCAGUGAGGCCAUUUUCUAUCCUCUCAACAAUACCACUUGGGCAUGUUACAAUCGGAUUGCUUGUUCUUAGUUUCUUCUUUUCGUUGGUGUAGAGGUUUCUGUGUGUGUGUGUGUAUAUAUAUAUAUCUCACAUAUAACUAUUUAGAGAUGCAAACUUUCUCACAAGAUUAAUUUUGAUUGUAUGGUUGAUGUAAACUGGCUAUAUGUCUUGUUCUUGUAUAAUAUAUAAAAAUAACUUUAUGGGCUUGCUUAAUUUCUACUUUGUUCUUUUGCUUUUUCUUUUUUCAUUGUCAAUUUGAAUCCGUGACCAGCCUUCUUUAAUUUUUUUUAUUUUUAUUAUUUAUUUAUUGUUUAUUUAAUUUGUACUCACAUAACAAAUUAAUAACUUCUACUAUUUUAUUGUUCUUUGUUUUUUUUUUUAAUUUUUUAUUUUUCGAUAAAGUAACAAAAUUGUAUUGGGUAAAUAUGCUUCUAUCCCUCUGGAAGUCUCUGGAUUAGGGGAAUUAUGCAUGGUGGAGGAUUACACUGUUGUGUAGGUCAUUAUAAAUAUUUAAAAGAAAAUAAAAAGUUUUUUUUUUUUUUUUUU